UGGUCAUUUUAGUUUUUGAGUGCUAUUUUUGUGAUAUAAACUUAGAAAUGUGCUAUUUUGGAGAUUUGCCUAUUUUUAAAAAUAGAAAUAAAUUGUUUCAACAUGGUUUUUAACAAAUAGUAAAAUUAAUUAAUUAGUUAUAUAAAUAUAUUUAUUUUUAAUUCUUUUAUGACUUGAAUUUAAUUUUGAACAAAAAGAAAAAUAAGAUAAUCAGUAUUAUCAUCAACAUGUAUGUCACAUAUUUUAAUAUUUCAUUUUAAUAAUUUAAAGAUAUAUAUAUAUGUGCAUGUUAUGUAUUAUGUAAAUGUAAAUAAAUUGACUUGAAAUGAAUAUUAAAUUUAUUUAUCAUCUUUUGUAAUUUAGACACAUUGAAUCAAUUGAAAAGAUUACGAAAAAUAUUUACCGCUUCCUAUUAAAAAUAAAAACUAACAUAGUUUAUUUAAAAAAAAUAAAUGUAGUUAUACUAAUAUAAUUAUAUAAGACUUUCAGUUUUCAAUUGAAAAAAAAAAUUAUUUGAUGACUAAUGUUAUUUAGUCAAAAUUUAUAGUAUAGUAAAUUUAACAUUUUAAGCAAUUACUUUGUAAUAAAACCAUAAUAGCUAAUACAUAAAAAUAUUUAAAUUUAACGAUAAGUUAUAUUAGAUUGUUAAUAUAUAAUUAACAAAGUUGAUAUAAGAAAACGAAUGUUAAAAAUCACAAUUUGAAAAUUAAUCAUCACCUUUAUCUUUAAAACCUUAAUUAUUUAUUCGGAUAACAUAGUAUACUGGUAUUAAAUAAAUAUUUUAUAUAAAAUUCAAAUGUACUCUAAUUGGUAACAAUCAAUAUUAUGUUAUCAUAUUGCAGACAUAACUAAAAAUAAUUUUUGCCAUAGACCCAUAGUAAAUUUGCUAUUUUUGUGUCGAAUAAAUGAGUGGUGGAAAGUGGGUUAAACCCAUCUUACUCGACCCGUCCCGAUGAGGUUGAAUCAGUUUUCAAUUUUAUAAUUUAAAAUUUUGAUCCGCCUGUAUGGAGAAAAUAUUACACCGUACUUGCAUCUCUUAAUUUUGCGGAUGAUCUAGAUAACAAUUUACAUAUUAUACAAAACGAAUACAAAAUAUUCCAUACUACGCGAACUGGCCCUAGUAAUUAUAUAUGUAAAACUCGUCCAAGGUAACUAACAAACUAUUUAGAUUUAAUUAUAUAACUUUAUUAAAACAUAAGUACAAAUAAAGAAUACCUUUUAGAGUUGCACAAUAUUUACAAUCCAAUAGCACUGAGAAUUUAAUAAACAUAUCAUUAAAAAAUGAUUUUCUUUUUCAGCUAUUAAAUGUUUUUCUAAAAUGAUCAAUCUAUAUAAAUAAUAAAAACUGAAUAUCAGCCUCAAUGAGCCUGUCCACGUAGGACAUUUAAAUUACCCAAUCAGAGAGCAAGGUUUUGCCAUGUCACUACCUUUGUUGGGCUCACGGUUUUUUGGUGUGUAUUUGUUACGAUUGGGCUCAAGCCCAUGAAACCAUUAUAGACGGCGAACAAACAAUCGCACCCUUUCACGUUUCUUCAAACCCUAAAUCAGAUCGAUUCUCAUCCCCUUUCCUCUUCCUCUUCUUUGAUCUGUUCCACGAUAUGAUUCAUGAACAAUCAAUUCAUCCUCCACUUCGUUCUCCCUUUACUCUCAUUUAUGGAUUCGUUUUUCUUUUCUUUUGUUUAUAAAGCUCUUAAACGGAGUUUCGUUUCGAUUAAGCUUCGUCGUAAAUUUUCAUUCGUAUAUUGCGAUGAGUUCCACCGGAAAAUCCAACUCGGAGAAACCACAAUGCAUUGAGGGUGACUCCUUUCCCGGACCGAUAAGCCCAUCGGCGAUCCCCACUCGAAGCAAGCCAAAGGCGAAGCGUCCUUCUCCUCCGGUCUGACGAAAUCAAAGGCUGACUCCUUUCCCGGACCGAUCAAGCCCAUCGGCGAUCCCCACUCGAAGCAAGCCAAAGGCGAAGCGCCGGUCUCCUCCGGUCUGACGAAAUUAAAGGCUGACUCCUUUCCCGGACCGAUCAAGCCCAUCGGCACACCUGAUUCAAAGAACCGCAAAGGUACGAUCAAUCACAACACGAAGACUGGUGUCUCUUCAGGCGUUAGAGGCAAAGCCGCUGUCUCCUCUGGCGUCAGGGGAAAAGCCAUUGUCUCCGCCGAAGUGAUGGCUUUCAAAGAUGUGAAAUACGGACCUCAUGACGGCGAGCUAAGGUUUCGGUUGAUCCAUUUUUGGGAAGCUCGAAAUGUUGUGACGAAGGUGCUUAUCGGUCUCGAGAUGCUUCUCAUCGAGCAAGAGGUAUAAACCGAAUUCUUGAUUGCGAUUUAGUUUAGAAAUUGUUCAGACAAGAUGCUGAUAAACAAUUUAGAUUCAAACUUAUCGCUCUAUUAUUUUGUUCUUUGUCUGAUUUAUAGCAAGUGUUUGGUUUUGUUGAUAGUACAAUAAACCGAAUUCUUGAUUGCGAUUUAGUUUAGAAAUUGUUCAGACAAGAUGCUGAUAAACAUUUUAGAUUCAAACUUAUCGCUCUAUUGUUUUGUUCUUUAUCUGAUUUAUAGCAAGUGUUUGCUUUUGUUGAUAGUACAAUAACUAUAAUUUUGUUGUUGAUGCAUUUCUGAUUUAAUUUCUUUAAUGUUGAAAAUAGGAGACUGUCAUCCAGGGUUACAUCCCAGCUGGGAGGAUAGACACUUAUUUGCCACACAUGAGAGCUGGUGGCAUUUACAGGCUCAACAGUUUUUUCGGGUCUAACAACAAGACUUUGUAUCGUGUUGCGGAACCAAGUUUCACCAUCACAUUCUCAUCGACUUCUGUCCUCUCUGAUCUAGAGGACAGUUCGGUAUGUUUCCCUGAGGACCGUUUCCGGUUCCAUGGAUAUGAGGAGUUCGAUGCUGCAUGCGACUUGAAAGGGGAUCUUUAUGGUAAGUUCUAACUGUUUUAUAGGAUAAUAUUUAAUCUAAUCUUGGAUCAACCGUUUUAAUUCGAUCAAAUAUAUUCAGCACUCUUUGUCUAGGAUAGUGUUAUGAUCCAUACUUACGUUUUUAGGUUACAUUGUUGGGUUUAUGAUACAUAAAGCAUUGAGUUUGUUUGUUUUAUUUUGCAGAUUUUGUUGGCCACAUCAAGCUUGUGAAUGGGCAGAUUCUCAGUGACAGUCUCGUGCUAGAUGAUGCAGAGAAAGCUUCAUCACGCCGAGUUCUCCUUCAUGUUCAAACACACGAGUAAGCUAAUAUGUAUCGUUUUCAUAUUCAUGUGUUGUCUCUCUUAUCACACGUGUUUUGUAUGUUAUAGCGGUCCAGUGAUGAAGUUGUACCUAUGAGACAAGGCUGCCUCCGACUUUAGUGAGAAAUUUAAAGCAUCUGGAGGAACUGCACGUGUUAUUUUAGUCACUACCUUAAACCCAAAACGUUUUGGAGGUCCGUAUUAGCAACUUUUUUUUAUUGUUUAGAAGUACAUAGGAUGGUCAAGGAAUCUUAUCUGGUUAGGUUAGCUUUGAGUAAUAGAACUGCAUUUGGUAAAAAUUGGAGCUUUAUGGCCAUGAGGAACUGAUGGGUUCGGAGAUAGCAAAUUCUACGUAUCAUUUUACAUUAUAACUUUGCAUUUGUAUUAUAACAAUGGAUCUGUUAUAGGUGCCCUAGCUAUCUCCUCUGUGACGCCAUCACGUGUGUUUUUGGACACUGAUAUUCAAGAAACCCGAGAUUAUCUCACUUGGAUGAACAAGAACCUAGCUGUUGCUAACAGAGUUGAUGCAGACAUUGUCACUAAGACUGAGACAGUGACCAUAGGCGAGCUCUUUUCCUAUAUGAAGCAGGAAGAUGCCAAGGUUGCUUGGUUUGAGUGCAUAGCAACCAUUGGUGAUGUUGCGCACGGUUCAUCAUGGUAUUAUAUAGGCUGUGGUGGGUGCCACACUAAGGCAACCAAAGGGCCUACCAGCCUUAUGUGUAAGAAAUGUGGGAAAACCGAUAUUGUUGGGGUUGCACAGUAAGUGACUCAGAUCUACUUAAACUCAUACUUCAAUGCACCAUGUUUACUCUGCUCAUGACACAGGUACCUGGCCAAGAUCUCCGUGUAUGAUAAUGAUGAUCAAGCGUUUUUUGUGCUCCUUGGUGGUGCUGGACAUGAGUUAUCUGGAAAGAAAGCUUCUGAGUUGGUUGAGAAUUAUUUCGAGGCCAAUGAGAAUGUAGGAGAUGAUCACUUGGUUCCGGUACCUCAAGCUCUUAUCGAUACCAUAGGACAGACUCGCAAAUUCAUUGUGAAGGUGUCAAAUCACGAUUUAAUUGGCAAGACUCAAGCUCUGACUGUGACAAAGGUGCUCACUCCAGAAGUUCCAGAAGUUGAAGCCAAUUUAGAAGGAAAUGUGGUUGUGCCAGACGCACAGGGAAAUUUGCACAAGGAAGUUGCUGAUGAUGAUCCUUCCACAAGCUUUGGGAGUGUGAAGAGGGCUGCUGAUAAUGUUGAGGUAGAAGAUCCCAAGCGAGCCAGAAGUGGCUAGGAUGUGUUAAGUGUUGUUUUUUAUGGUUACUAAAACUCUAUGCUUUGGUUUUUUCAAUCUCAGACUUUAUUUUUGCAACAUUAAACUAUCUUUCUUAUAAACUAUGUUGGCUGCA
Long non-coding RNA from Brassica napus (rape), 4589 nucleotides. RefSeq lists it as uncharacterized. The record is from RefSeq and is a predicted model, not a curated record. The transcript has 5 exons. NCBI's taxonomy places the organism in Eukaryota, Viridiplantae, Streptophyta, Magnoliopsida, Brassicales, Brassicaceae.